CACGUAGGAGGCGAGCGUUGUCCGGAAUCAUUGGGCGUAAAGAGCGCGCAGGCGGCUUGGCAAGUCGGGUGUGAAAUCCCGGGGCUCAACCCCGGGACUGCAUUCGAUACUGUCAGGCUAGAGGUAGGUAGGGGAGAUCGGAAUUCCUGGUGUAGCGGUGAAAUGCGCAGAUAUCAGGAGGAACACCGAUGGCGAAGGCAGGUCUCUGGGCCACUACUGACGCUGAGAAGCGAAAGCAUGGGGAGCGAACAGG
RNAcentral lists this ribosomal RNA (253 nucleotides) under uncultured bacterium. Its description in RNAcentral is "partial 16S ribosomal RNA". It matches the Rfam family "Bacterial small subunit ribosomal RNA", at positions 524 to 776 of the family's 1533-position model. The record is from RNAcentral.